This is a non-coding RNA of Rattus norvegicus (Norway rat), 278 nucleotides long. The record is from RefSeq and is a predicted model, not a curated record. Lineage: Eukaryota; Metazoa; Chordata; Mammalia; Rodentia; Muridae.
GUGUUUGCUAGUGGACUGAGCUGCUGCUGCCUGUGAACCUGUGAACUGAACUGCCGAUUUCCAGACAACACCGAUGGGAGUUGCUCCAAAGAACCUUUCUAAGCAGAGACUGGAAGACCCAUCUCAGAUGUGAAGAGCAGUGCUCCAUGAGCCAGAGUCACAGACAGAAUAGAAAGGAGACCGAAGGUAGAGAACCAGCAUUCAUCUUUCUCUACUUCCCGACUGUUAGAUUGGUAUUGAUCACCUUUGAUGUGGAAAUAAAAGAAAGAAUAAAAAUG